AAUCCAUAGGUUAAUGAGGCGAACCGGGGGAACUGAAACAUCUAAGUACCCCGAGGAAAAGAAAUCAACCGAGAUUCCCCCAGUAGCGGCGAGCGAACGGGGAGGAGCCCAGAGCCUGAAUCAGCAUGUGUGUUAGUGGAAGCGUCUGGAAAGGCGCGCGAUACAGGGUGACAGCCCCGUACACAAAAGCGCAUGUGCUGUGAGCUCGAUGAGUAGGGCGGGACACGUGGUAUCCUGUCUGAAUAUGGGGGGACCAUCCUCCAAGGCUAAAUACUCCUGACUGACCGAUAGUGAACCAGUACCGUGAGGGAAAGGCGAAAAGAACCCCGGCGAGGGGAGUGAAAAAGAACCUGAAACCGUGUACGUACAAGCA
Molecule: ribosomal RNA, 373 nt
Filed under: Salmonella enterica subsp. enterica serovar Muenchen
Lineage: Bacteria; Pseudomonadati; Pseudomonadota; Gammaproteobacteria; Enterobacterales; Enterobacteriaceae
Also listed under: 3 other names
Description: partial 23S ribosomal RNA
Rfam family: Bacterial large subunit ribosomal RNA
Source: RNAcentral